RNAcentral lists this ribosomal RNA (497 nucleotides) under uncultured bacterium. RNAcentral describes it as "partial 16S ribosomal RNA". It matches the Rfam family "Bacterial small subunit ribosomal RNA", at positions 28 to 507 of the family's 1533-position model. The record is from RNAcentral.
GAUGAACGCUGGCGGCGUGCCUAAUUCAUGCGAGUCGAGCGAACGGACGAGAAGCUUGCUUCUCUGAUGUUAGCGGCGGACGGGUGAGUAACACGUGGAUAACCUACCUAUAAGACUGGGAUAACUUCGGGAAACCGUAGCUAAUACCGGAUAAUAUUUUGAACCGCAUGGUUCAAAAGUGAAAGACGGUCUUGCUGUCACUUAUAGAUGGAUCCGCGCUGCAUUAGCUAGUUGGUAAGGUAACGGCUUACCAAGGCAACGAUGCAUAGCCGACCUGAGAGGGUGAUCGGCCACACUGGAACUGAGACACGGUCCAGACUCCUACGGGAGGCAGCAGUAGGGAAUCUUCCGCAAUGGGCGAAAGCCUGACGGAGCAACGCCGCGUGAGUGAUGAAGGUCUUCGGAUCGUAAAACUCUGUUAUUAGGGAAGAACAUAUGUGUAAGUAACUGUGCACAUCUUGACGGUACCUAAUCAGAAAGCCACGGCUAACUACGUG